This 498-nucleotide ribosomal RNA is filed under the name uncultured Streptococcus sp. RNAcentral's name for it is "bacterial SSU rRNA". It matches the Rfam family "Bacterial small subunit ribosomal RNA", at positions 28 to 508 of the family's 1533-position model. Lineage: Bacteria; Bacillati; Bacillota; Bacilli; Lactobacillales; Streptococcaceae. The record is from RNAcentral.
GACGAACGCUGGCGGCGUGCCUAAUACAUGCAAGUAGAACGCUGAAGAGAGGAGCUUGCUCUUCUUGGAUGAGUUGCGAACGGGUGAGUAACGCGUAGGUAACCUGCCUUGUAGCGGGGGAUAACUAUUGGAAACGAUAGCUAAUACCGCAUAACAAUGGAUGACCCAUGUCAUUUAUUUGAAAGGGGCAAAUGCUCCACUACAAGAUGGACCUGCGUUGUAUUAGCUAGUAGGUGAGGUAACGGCCCACCUAGGCGACGAUACAUAGCCGACCUGAGAGGGUGAUCGGCCACACUGGGACCGAGACACGGCCCAGACUCCUACGGGAGGCAGCAGUAGGGAAUCUUCGGCAAUGCGGGCAACCCUGACCGAGCAACGCCGCGUGAGUGAAGAAGGUUUUCGGAUCGUAAAGCUCUGUUGUAAGUCAAGAACGAGUGUGAGAGUGGAAAGUUCACACUGUGACGGUAGCUUACCAGAAAGGGACGGCUAACUACGUGC